This 76-nucleotide transfer RNA is filed under the name Pseudomonadota bacterium. RNAcentral's name for it is "Proteobacteria bacterium (groundwater metagenome) tRNA-Glu". It matches the Rfam family "tRNA". Rfam says of the family: Transfer RNA (tRNA) molecules are approximately 80 nucleotides in length. Their secondary structure includes four short double-helical elements and three loops (D, anti-codon, and T loops). Further hydrogen bonds mediate the characteristic L-shaped molecular structure. tRNAs have two regions of fundamental functional importance: the anti-codon, which is responsible for specific mRNA codon recognition, and the 3' end, to which the tRNAs corresponding amino acid is attached (by aminoacyl-tRNA synthetases). tRNAs cope with the degeneracy of the genetic code in two manners: having more than one tRNA (with a specific anti-codon) for a particular amino acid; and 'wobble' base-pairing, i.e. permitting non-standard base-pairing at the 3rd anti-codon position. Lineage: Bacteria; Pseudomonadati; Pseudomonadota. The record is from RNAcentral.
GUCCCCUUCGUCUAGUGGCCCAGGACACUGCCCUCUCACGGCAAUAACACGGGUUCAAAUCCCGUAGGGGACGCCA